Molecule: ribosomal RNA, 896 nt
Filed under: Beauveria bassiana
Lineage: Eukaryota; Fungi; Ascomycota; Sordariomycetes; Hypocreales; Cordycipitaceae
Description: LSU rRNA
Rfam family: Eukaryotic large subunit ribosomal RNA
Source: RNAcentral
GCAUAUCAAUAAGCGGAGGAAAAGAACCCAACAGGGAUUGCCCCAGUAACGGCGAGUGAAGCGGCAACAGCUCAAAUUUGAAAUCUGGCCCUCGGGUCCGAGUUGUAAUUUGUAGAGGAUGCUUUUGGCGAGGUGCCUUCCGAGUUCCCUGGAACGGGACGCCAUAGAGGGUGAGAGCCCCGUCUGGUCGGACACCGAGCCUCUGUAAAGCUCCUUCAACGAGUCGAGUAGUUUGGGAAUGCUGCUCAAAAUGGGAGGUAUAUGUCUUCUAAAGCUAAAUAUUGGCCAGAGACCGAUAGCGCACAAGUAGAGUGAUCGAAAGAUGAAAAGCACUUUGAAAAGAGGGUUAAAAAGUACGUGAAAUUGUUGAAAGGGAAGCGCCUAUGACCAGACUUGCGCCCGGUGAAUCAUCCAGCGUUCUCGCUGGUGCACUUUGCCGGGCACAGGCCAGCAUCAGUUUGGCGCGGGGGAAAAAGGCUUCGGGAAUGUGGCUCCCUCGGGAGUGUUAUAGCCCGCUGCGUAAUACCCUGCGCCGGACUGAGGUACGCGCAUCGCAAGGAUGCUGGCGUAAUGGUCAUCAGCGACCCGUCUUGAAACACGGACCAAGGAGUCGUCUUCGUAUGCGAGUGUUCGGGUGUCAAACCCCUACGCGUAAUGAAAGUGAACGCAGGUGAGAGCUUCGGCGCAUCAUCGACCGAUCCUGAUGUUCUCGGAUGGAUUUGAGUAAGAGCAUACGGGGCCGGACCCGAAAGAAGGUGAACUAUGCCUGUAUAGGGUGAAGCCAGAGGAAACUCUGGUGGAGGCUCGCAGCGGUUCUGACGUGCGAAUCGAUCGUCAAAUAUGGGCAUGGGGGCGAAAGACUAAUCGAACCUUCUAGUAGCUGGUUUCCGCCGAAG